Molecule: ribosomal RNA, 459 nt
Filed under: uncultured bacterium
Lineage: Bacteria
Description: partial 16S ribosomal RNA
Rfam family: Bacterial small subunit ribosomal RNA
Source: RNAcentral
CCUACGGGAGUCAGCAGUGAGGAAUAUUGGUCAAUGGCCGCAGGGCUGAACCAGCCAAGUCGCGUGAGGGAUGACGGUCCUAUGGAUUGUAAACCUCUUUUGUCAGGGAGCAAAGGGCGCCACGUGUGGCGCUUUGCGAGUACCUGAAGAAAAAGCAUCGGCUAACUCCGUGCCAGCAGCCGCGGUAAUACGGUGGAUGCGAGCGUUAUCCGGAUUUAUUGGGUUUAACGGGUGCGCAGGCGGAAUGUCAAGUCAGCGGUAAAAUUUCGGGGCUCAACCCCGUCGUGCCGUUGAAACUGGCGUUCUUGAGUGAGCGAGAAGUAUGCGGAAUGCGUGGUGUAGCGGUGAAAUGCAUAGAUAUCACGCAGAACUCCGAUUGCGAAGGCAGCAUACCGGCGCUCAACUGACGCUCAUGCACGAAAGCGUGGGUAUCGAACAGGAUUAGAUACCCGUGUAGUC